CAGAAAUCAAAGAUCAGUUUCCUUUGCUGUACAAAAGUGUUUAAUAUACAUGGAUUCUUAAGAGUACGGCAGGCACUGCCCAGCUCUACA
Molecule: long non-coding RNA, 90 nt
Organism: Hippopotamus amphibius kiboko
Lineage: Eukaryota; Metazoa; Chordata; Mammalia; Artiodactyla; Hippopotamidae
Exons: 3
Source: RefSeq, a predicted model, not a curated record